This 512-nucleotide ribosomal RNA is filed under the name uncultured bacterium. RNAcentral's name for it is "partial 16S ribosomal RNA". It matches the Rfam family "Bacterial small subunit ribosomal RNA", at positions 28 to 507 of the family's 1533-position model. The record is from RNAcentral.
GAUGAACGCUGGCGGCGUGCCUAAUACAUGCAAGUCGAACGAAACUUCUUUAUCACCGAGUGCUUGCACUCACCGAUAAAGAGUUGAGUGGCGAGCGGGUGAGUAACACGUGGGCAACCUGCCCAAAAGAGGGGGAUAACACUUGGAAACAGGUGCUAAUACCGCAUAACCAUAGUUACCGCAUGGUAACUAUGUAAAAGGUGGCUAUACUACCGCUUUUGGAUGGGCCCGCGGCGCAUUAGCUAGUUGGUAGGGUAAAGGCUUACCAAGGCAAUGAUGCGUAGCCGAAUUGAGAGGUUGAUCGGCCACAUUGGGACUGAGACACGGCCCAAACUCCUACGGGAGGCAGCAGUAGGGAAUCUUCCACAAUGGGCGAAAGCCUGAUGGAGCAACGCCGCGUGGGUGAAGAAGGUCUUCGGAUCGUAAAACCCUGUUGUUAGAGAAGAAAGUGCGUGAGAGUAACUGUUCACGUUUCGACGGUAUCUAACCAGAAAGCCACGGCUAACUACGUG